RNAcentral lists this ribosomal RNA (1413 nucleotides) under Sulfitobacter sp. CAR-8043. RNAcentral describes it as "16S ribosomal RNA". It matches the Rfam family "Bacterial small subunit ribosomal RNA". Lineage: Bacteria; Pseudomonadati; Pseudomonadota; Alphaproteobacteria; Rhodobacterales; Roseobacteraceae. The record is from RNAcentral.
ACACAUGCAGUCGAGCGAGACCUUCGGGUCUAGCGGCGGACGGGUUAGUAACGCGUGGGAACGUGCCCUUCUCUGCGGAAUAGCCACUGGAAACGGUGAGUAAUACCGCAUACGCCCUUCGGGGGAAAGAUUUAUCGGAGAAGGAUCGGCCCGCGUUAGAUUAGAUAGUUGGUGGGGUAACGGCCUACCAAGUCUACGAUCUAUAGCUGGUUUUAGAGGAUGAUCAGCAACACUGGGACUGAGACACGGCCCAGAUCUCCUACGGGAGGCACGCAGUGGGGAAUUCUUAGACAAUGGGCGCAAGCCUGUAUCUAGCCAUGCCGCGUGUGUGAUGAAGGUUCUUAGGAAUCGUAAAGCACUUUCGCCAGGGAUGAUAAUGACAGUACCCUGGUAAAGAAACCCCGGCUAACUCCCGUGCCAGCAGCCGCGGGUAAUACGGAGGGGGUUAGCGUUGUUCGGAAUUACUGGGCGUAAAGCGUACGUAGGCGGAUCAAGAAAGUUGGGGGUGAAAUCCCGGGGCUCAACCCCGGAACUGCCUCCAAAACUCCUGGUCUUGAGUUCGAGAGAGGUGAGUGGAAUUCCAAGUGUAGAGGUGAAAUUCGUAGAUAUUUGGAGGAACACCAGUGGCGAAGGCGGCUCACUGGCUCGAUACUGACGCUGAGGUACGAAAGUGUGGGGAGCAAACAGGAUUAGAUACCCUGGUAGUCCACACCGUAAACGAUGAAUGCCAGUCGUCGGGCAGUAUACUGUUCGGUGACACACCUAACGGAUUAAGCAUUCCGCCUGGGGGAGUACGGGUCGCAAGAUUAAAACUCAAAGGAAUUGACGGGGGCCCCGCCACAAGCCGGUGGGAGCAUGGUGGUUUAAUUCGAAGCAACGCCGCAGAACCUUUACCAACCCUUUGACAUCCUGGUGCUAACCCGAAAGAUCGGGGCGGUUCCACUUCCGGUGACGCAGUGACAGGUGCCUGGCAUGGCUUGUCGUCCAGCCUCGUGUCGUGAGAUGUUCCGGGUUAAGUCCGGCAACGAGCGCAACCCACAUUCCUUAGUUGCCAGCAGUUCGGCUGGGCACCUCUAAGGAAACUUGCCCGUGAGUAUAAGCGGGAGGAAGGUGUGGAUGACGUCAAGUCCUCAUGGCCCUUACGGGUUGGGCUACACACGUGCUACAAUGGCAGUGACAAUGGGUUAAUCCCCAAAAGCUGUCUCAGUUCGGAUUGGGGUCUGCAACUCGACCCCAUGAAGUCGGAAUCGCUAGUAAUCGUGGAACAGCAUGCCACGGUGAAUACGUUCCCGGGCCUUGUACACACCGCCCGUCACACCAUGGGAGUUGGUUCUACCCGACGGCCGUGCGCCAACCUUUCGAGGAGGCAGCGGACCACGGUAGGAUCAGCGACUGGGGUGAAGUCGUAACAAG